RNAcentral lists this transfer RNA (69 nucleotides) under Zorotypus medoensis. Its description in RNAcentral is "tRNA-Gln". Lineage: Eukaryota; Metazoa; Arthropoda; Insecta; Zoraptera; Zorotypidae. The record is from RNAcentral.
UAUACUAAGGUGUUGGGUGCACAAAAAUUUUUGAAGUUUUAGGAUACAGUUUAAUUCUGUUAAGUAUAA